AGUCCGCAGCCGCCGUCCAGCGCGCAGGUUACGCCGGAGCACAGGAGCGGGAGCCGGAGGCCCGAGGCCCGAGCUGCCAGGGCGGCGCACGCUCACCCGCGCGGACCGGGCCGCGUCCGUUCCCACUCGGGCCGCUCCGGUCCAGGCACAGGGCCGAGCUUCCGGCCGAGUAGCCGGGAAGCUCCGCAAUCCCAGCCAGGGUUUGAGGGCCCCGCGCCUGCGCGCGGCGGGAGGCGGAGCUUCAUCUGGCCACGCCCUCGCGGUGACGCGCUGCAGAGGGCGGUGCACAGGGUAGCGGGCAGAUGUGGGAAUCCUUUUGGAAGGCUCUAGCAUGGAGUAGGCUGGUGAGAAAGGAUUGCCAGGAAGGGCGGGGGCCGCCACGCUUAGAAAGUGGGAAGUUUGAGUGGGCCAGAAAACCUCCUCCUGUCAGCUACUGAGAAUAACUCGAGAAUCCGAGCAACUUGAUAUGGCGUAGUUAAUAUGCCAAAUAUUCAUAGCUGCAGCACUCCGCCCCGCGCUGUGUAAACCAAAACUAAAACCAACCUUCAGUCUCCCUGGUUCCAACGGGUGGCCUUCACGUUGCCAACUUCUGGAACAGCCUGACAGGGCCCAGGACUUGCACUUCUGUUGGGGUGGGGAGGAAGUAGGACAGGAGAAGCAGGGAAAUAGAGAUGAAGGUCAGAGCACAACGUUGGGAAGCCAGUUCUCUCUGCCUUGGUGAGGUAGCAUCUCUUGUUUCUGCUAUGUUGUGCAUUCCACAUAGAUCAGUGCCUCAUUCUGCCAUCAUCAGAGAAAGUUUUCUUCAGAGAGAGCGACAGAGACAGAGACUCAAUCUCCAUCAAACCCCUCUUCUCAGGGCUCAGAGAGCCAGGGAGAAGAGACAGAAAGAUUGUAAGAACCAGAGAUGACCCUAGGAAAACUGUCUUCCAGACACAACAGCACUGACACAUAUAUAUGAACUCCUAGAAAUAGGAUGCUCAGGGCCUGAAUAGGUUCAAGACAGAUGGAGUCCUAGAACAGAGAAGCAAGAAGACAUGAGCUCCUAUCCCUAAGAAGCUGUCUCCAACUGAUACCUGCUUGCAAAGAAAAAAAUAACUUUCUCCAUUGGAGUCUCACAGGGUGUACAAGCCAGCCACCCUUAACAGUAUGUCCCAUGCCCAGCAGUGGAUGACCAGAUCAAUGGUAUUUUAUUUGCAUGUAUGUCUGUAAACCAUAUGUGUACAGUGCCCACAGAGGCCAGAAGAGGAUGUUAGAACCCCUACAACUGGAGUUACAGAAGGUUGUGAGCUACCAUGUGGGUGCUGGGAAUGGAAUGUGGGCCUGGGAGAGCAGCCAGUGUUCUUAAUCACUGAAACAUCUUCUCCAGCCCCUCCCUAUGCUUUCGGUUUUAAAGUUGACUUUGAAAAGAAUCAGACUCUGAGAAGUUUUGACGAAUGAAGCAUCCCUGCUCUUCACAUGGGCACAGUUCACGUGCUUGGAGCAGGAUUUGUGUUGUUGAACAGUGUGAGGAUACAUUAUAGCAUCCAAAGGCAAGGCUGUCCUUUCACGUAUCCACAGAGCAAUGCUCAAAUUUAGGUAAUUUAACACCGAAGCAAUACUAUGGCUGUGAUUCAGUCUCUAUUUAAAAUUUGCCAGUUGUAGUCUAAGGCAGGCUCUCCCUCCCCAGCCCAGGCUGGAUUGAAACUCUAAACACUGGGAUGCCAGGCCUGUUUCUCCACUCUGGGUUCUCUUCCUGCUUCCUUUAUGGAGUCUUUUGACGAGUAAAACUUAACAAGUUUAAUGUACUUAGGUUUGUCUGUCUCUUCUUCUGUAGCUAGCAACUUUGAUGUCCAAAAAGCCUUGCAUAUCCUAAAAUGAAGAUGUCUUUUCUUAGGAUUUUUGGGAAGCUUUCGUUUUCUCGUUUAUAGUUAAAUCAUGGCUCCACGUUGGAGUUAGUUUGUGUUUGCUAUGAAGUAAGGAUCCACUUCUUGAUUAGAAUGGAGAGGAUGUGGACUUCAGUUGCAAGAGGGUAGUUGACUGAAUAGUAGUUAUUAAGUAGGACCUUUUCUCAAAUGACUGUCAAUGCUACAUCUGGGAUGCAUCAAUGUUUCAAAAUGC
This 2097-nucleotide long non-coding RNA is filed under the name Mus caroli (Ryukyu mouse). RNAcentral describes it as "lncRNA (MGP_CAROLIEiJ_G0013253.1)". Lineage: Eukaryota; Metazoa; Chordata; Mammalia; Rodentia; Muridae. The record is from RNAcentral.